UACAGAGGUCCCGAGCGUUGUUCGGAUUCACUGGGCGUAAAGGGUGCGUAGGUGGCAUGGUAAGUUUGAUGUGAAAGCUCAGGGCUUAACCCUGAAAUGGCAUUGAAUACUACUGUGCUGGAGGUUUGGAGGGGGGACUGGAAUUCUUGGUGUAGCAGUGAAAUGCGUAGAUAUCAAGAGGAACACCGGUGGCGAAGGCGGCGUUCUGGACUGCAACUGACACUGAUGAACGAAAGCCAGGGGAGCAAACGGG
This 253-nucleotide ribosomal RNA is filed under the name uncultured bacterium. Its description in RNAcentral is "partial 16S ribosomal RNA". It matches the Rfam family "Bacterial small subunit ribosomal RNA", at positions 524 to 776 of the family's 1533-position model. The record is from RNAcentral.